AAUCCAUAUCUCUUUCAUUAUUGGUCCAAAAAUUAUGGGACCAAUUGCAUUAUUUCUCUUUUAUUUUCUACUUUCUAAAAAUGAUUUUUAAUAUUUUUUAUUUCAUCAUUUGCUAUUUUUUAGUAAUUUUCUCUUUUCUGGUUAUUUUUAAUUCAUUUUAAAUAGUUUUUGAUAUUCAAAAAAUACAAAAAUAUUUUCUCAACCUCUUUGAAUGAUGAUAGAUC
RNAcentral lists this long non-coding RNA (224 nucleotides) under Lathyrus oleraceus (garden pea). RNAcentral describes it as "Pisum sativum (pea) long non-coding RNA (PSAT_LNC026327)". Lineage: Eukaryota; Viridiplantae; Streptophyta; Magnoliopsida; Fabales; Fabaceae. The record is from RNAcentral.